RNAcentral lists this ribosomal RNA (443 nucleotides) under uncultured bacterium. RNAcentral's name for it is "partial 16S ribosomal RNA". It matches the Rfam family "Bacterial small subunit ribosomal RNA", at positions 338 to 795 of the family's 1533-position model. The record is from RNAcentral.
CCUACGGGUGGCAGCAGUGGGGAAUAUUGGGCAAUGGGCGCAAGCCUGACCCAGCAACGCCGCGUGAAGGAAGAAGGCUUUCGGGGUGUAAACCUCUUUUCUGAGGGACGAAGAAAGUGACGGUACCUCAGGAAUAAGCCACGGCUAACUACGUGCCUGCAGCCGCGGUAAUACGUAGGUGGCAGGCGUUAUCCGGAUUUAUUGGGUGUAAAGGGAGAGUAGGCGGGAAAGUAAGUCAGAUGUGAAACCUCGGGGCUCAACCCGGCGCCUGCAUUUGACACGGUUUUUCUUGAGUGUGGGAGCGGCAAUCGGAAUGCCGUGUGUAGCGGUGAAAUGCGUAGAUAUACGGAGGAACACCAGUGGCGAAGGCGGAUUGCUGGACAGUAACUGACGCUGAGGCGCGAAAGCGUGGGGAGCAAACAGGAUUAGAUACCCGAGUAGUC